RNAcentral lists this small nuclear RNA (159 nucleotides) under Cucumis melo (muskmelon). RNAcentral describes it as "U2 spliceosomal RNA". It matches the Rfam family "U2 spliceosomal RNA". Rfam says of the family: U2 is a small nuclear RNA (snRNA) component of the spliceosome (involved in pre-mRNA splicing). The record is from Rfam by way of RNAcentral. Lineage: Eukaryota; Viridiplantae; Streptophyta; Magnoliopsida; Cucurbitales; Cucurbitaceae.
AUACCUUUCUCGGCCUUUUGGCUAAGAUCAAGUUGUAGUGUCUGUUCUAGAAGGGGAUGUUUUGUAUGUUCACAAACUCUACCAUGUCCAUGACCCCGCUGUGGUUAUGUUUGAUAUUUUCUUUAUUUGUGAAAUGAAGUAAAAUAAAGAGUACAUAUA